AUGCUCGCUUUGACAGCACACAUACUAAAAUUGGAACGACACAGAGAAGAUUAGCAUGGACCCUGUGCAAGGAUGACAUGUAAAUUCAUGAACCAUUCCAUAUUUUU
This is a small nuclear RNA of Chlorocebus sabaeus (green monkey), 107 nucleotides long. Lineage: Eukaryota; Metazoa; Chordata; Mammalia; Primates; Cercopithecidae. The record is from Ensembl.